AAAGGGAGACCUAAUUCGGGUAUAAGACGAAAAAAUAGUAGUCGAAACCAAGAAUCAAUCCCAAAAGGUCGGAACGAGGUAUGUGGCUUUCAAACUAGGUUCUGGGUUCAUAAAAGACCUGAAUCAGGAACAAGGGCUAUUAGCUCAGGUGGUUAGAGCGCACCCCUGAUAAGGGUGAGGUUCCUGGUUCGAGUCCAGGAUGGCCCACCUGCACAGGUGGCAAAAACAAAGAAAAGAAGCGAGGAAUCAGCACCUUAUCUUACUUAUAUAGUAAGAGAGAAUGCUGGCUCUGAGUACAGAGUCCAGAGGAACCUUGAAAACUGCAUAGAGCUAGGUGAAAAAGCCAAAAAAGAAGACCGCAAG
This 363-nucleotide transfer RNA is filed under the name uncultured Microcystis sp. Its description in RNAcentral is "partial 16S-23S ribosomal RNA intergenic spacer". The stretch from base 134 to 207 matches the Rfam family "tRNA". The record is from RNAcentral. Lineage: Bacteria; Bacillati; Cyanobacteriota; Cyanophyceae; Chroococcales; Microcystaceae.